AAAAAGAACCUGAAACCGUGUACGUACAAGCAGUGGGAGCACAGGUUUACCUGUGUGACUGCGUACCUUUUGUAUAAUGGGUCAGCGACUUAUAUUCUGUAGCAAGGUUAACCGAAUAGGGGAGCCGUAGGGAAACCGAGUCUUAACCGGGCGUUAAGUUGCAGGGUAUAGACCCGAAACCCGGUGAUCUAGCCAUGGGCAGGUU
RNAcentral lists this ribosomal RNA (205 nucleotides) under Salmonella enterica subsp. enterica serovar Kentucky. RNAcentral describes it as "partial 23S ribosomal RNA". It matches the Rfam family "Bacterial large subunit ribosomal RNA", at positions 541 to 746 of the family's 2925-position model. The record is from RNAcentral. Lineage: Bacteria; Pseudomonadati; Pseudomonadota; Gammaproteobacteria; Enterobacterales; Enterobacteriaceae.